Panicum virgatum (switchgrass) is the source of this 2256-nucleotide RNA transcript. RefSeq lists it as uncharacterized. The transcript has 3 exons. Lineage: Eukaryota; Viridiplantae; Streptophyta; Magnoliopsida; Poales; Poaceae. The record is from RefSeq and is a predicted model, not a curated record.
AAGAUUCCCUUCCCCCCGAACCCUAGCAGUCGGCUCCUCCCUCUAGCAAUCCGCGCCGCCCGCCCCUCCAUCCCCACUCUCCUCCUCCCAUGGUUCAUCCAAAUCUUAGCUUCCAAAUACUUCAAAUUUUGCAGUGCUCCACCCAACAAUGGAGCCAAUUGAUGUACAGCUCUGCGCCGCUGCGUCCCGAAGCGGCCGAGGCACAUCUCCCGGCCUGUCGCGGGCGCGGCCAGCAUUGGCUCGAGCACGGCACCUAGGUGCCGCUGCAACCUUGCAUCCGCUUCGACACGGCCACCAGAGCGUCCAUGGUUCGGGCGUUGCUGCGUCCCCUAGUAGCUUGGGCACUUCUCCCGGUCUCAGUCGGGCGCGGCCGGCCUUGGCGCUAGCCCGGCACCCAGUUGCGGCCGUCGGUAGAGCUCCCGCUGCAGAUGUGCCGGGCAGCGCGUUAGUGCGGGAGAUCUCCACCGGGAGGCAUUUGGUUAUUAUCCCGAUGUGUGCUGCUGCAGGUAUGCCCCCGCCGGCCAAUACCAUCCUUCAUCCUAGGAGACUGUUUUAGCCCUGACAAUUGCUGUGGUAGAUCUCUGGCGUCGAUUGCCAUGCCCUAACUCACAGGUAAGUGCUCCAAAUACAGUACCCCAAACCCGUGUGCUUCUAUUGUUCUGCUCUAGUUUCUCAAUUGAUGUUGGUUGAAAUGGCUCUUUCUUGAAAAUAAUAGUUAUAGCCAUAUCCUCAGGUCAACAGUAAUCAAUUUGUGCUGUUUGUUCAAGUAAUAUCACUGAACUUAUGGUUAGUCAACUUCAGGGAUGUAUGUAUGUGUUUAUUUGAGUGUCAAAAUCAGAAAUUUGUGUGAUAUUUUCAUCUACAGAUUGGGGCACACUUAAUUUUUGGUUGCACAAAGCCUUCUAUGCCGUAUAUGCCAUGGCAUUUAGUCCAUGAAUUGUCCUAUACUAUGGUUUAUGGCUUUAAGAUGCUCAUCUGCUAUGGGCAAGAAAGAGGAACCUGUAAGAAAUUUAUGCACCAAAAGCAUAUUUGUCCAAAUUUAAUUUUUUGAUAACUGAAGAUCUGAUUACUGAAGCAUGUGAUGUUUGCGCUGUUCUUCAUUCUACAACAAUGGUCAGAGAUGCAAGCAUGCGACUUAUUAUGCAUUUUUUGUCUCUUAUCUUUAUCAAUCUAAAGAAAAUGUUAUUACUAUAGUUUCAUUUAUGCAGGAAGCUCUGUUUCAUCAGAUUGACUUUAAUUAGUUCUUCUAAAUUUCAUGAAUGUGUUAAUCUCUGAAUAACAUGCUUCUGACUAAAAUUCAAGCCAGCUGGCCUCCUGUAGUCCGAUUCAACAGUGCUAUGUUGUUGAUUGAUACGUUGUCUCAACCUUUAUUCUCAGAAAAUCUUAGUCUGAAAGAAAAGAAACCUGGAAUAAAACAAGAGUAGGUCUAUUUCAAUUGUCUUUUUCUCAUUUGAAAUAUUUGUUCAUGAGCAUUCGGAAACCAGAAAAAAAUUAUACUGAAUAAUGUUCACCUUCUGCCCCUGAUCUAAGGAAGUCCCUGGCUGUAGUAAUUAUGUUAGAAGAUGACUCCCCACAUGAUUUAGUUUAUGCCUGUUGGAUGUGAGAAUUUGGUCUGGCUAUCUAUGUGCUCUCCUACUGUGGUUAAUGUAUCAUUUAACAAGGCUUCUUAAUUCUACCACUCUAUUAUGUUGCUUCACGGCCUGUCAAUACUAGAUUGCCACAAGCAAACAUUCUUUGCUUAUUGCCUAUGGACAGCACAUUUGGUCUACUAUAACACAUGAUGCACUAAUGAAUUGUUUGAUUGAAGUAAAUAUGUAAGGCUAUGAUUUGUUUCAAUCUGACUUUUGUUCUUAAGCCACUAGAGUAAUAAAGUUAAUCAGUUGGCUUUUGUGGCAGGUCUGUUGAGGGUUGACUCAAAAUGGAUGGCUUCUUAUGAUGUGCCAUGGCAACAAAGAACUAAUGAAUCUUUGCUUGGCUUGCUGUUUUGGAUGACCCUCCUUAUGUUCUAAUUACCACAACCGGAACAGAUCUUCCUAAUUGUACGAAGAGCUUGAGGUAGAGAAGCGUGCAGAAGCAGAUCAUCUAGACAAACUUUUGGUUAGUAGGAUGAGUUGGAUACUUGUAAUAAGUGUGUAUGCUAAUUUGUGGUUGUCACACAAUAUUUGUAAUUGUGAUACUGUAUUCUGCUACUUGAGAUUUUGUUUAGUAUGUGCAAAUUGAGCAUUAAGGAUCAAAUGGAGUGGGCAUUGAAAAAAA